AUUGGAAGCUGAAUAGCCCAGCAGUGCUGGCAAAUGAAAUAUCUUUUGUUUCAACUUUCAGACUUUCUAGAUUAAAGUGAAGGUUGCUGUCUGGUUUAGAACGGUCAGUUAAUCCACAUUAUUCCACUUUGCACAAU
This 137-nucleotide small nucleolar RNA is filed under the name Pogona vitticeps (central bearded dragon). RNAcentral describes it as "Small Cajal body specific RNA 3 (ENSPVIG00000017838.1)". It matches the Rfam family "Small Cajal body specific RNA 3". From Rfam's summary of the family: scaRNAs are a specific class of small nuclear RNAs which localise to the Cajal bodies and guide the modification of RNA polymerase II transcribed spliceosomal RNAs U1, U2, U4, U5 and U12. The record is from Rfam by way of RNAcentral. Lineage: Eukaryota; Metazoa; Chordata; Lepidosauria; Squamata; Agamidae.